CCUACGGGUGGCAGCAGUGGGGAAUAUUGGACAAUGGGGGCAACCCUGAUCCAGCCAUGCCGCGUGUGUGAAGAAGGCCCUCGGGUUGUAAAGCACUUUCAGUGAGGAAGAACGCCUGGUGGUUAAUACCCAUCAGGAAAGACAUCACUCACAGAAGAAGCACCGGCUAACUCCGUGCCAGCAGCCGCGGUAAUACGGAGGGUGCGAGCGUUAAUCGGAAUUACUGGGCGUAAAGCGCGCGUAGGUGGCUUGAUAAGCCGGUUGUGAAAGCCCCGGGCUCAACCUGGGAACGGCCUCCGGAACUGUCAAGCUAGAGUGCAGGAGAGGAAGGUAGAAUUCCCGGUGUAGCGGUGAAAUGCGUAGAGAUCGGGAGGAAUACCAGUGGCGAAGGCGGCCUUCUGGACUGACACUGACACUGAGGUGCGAAAGCGUGGGUAGCAAACAGGAUUAGAUACCCCUGUAGUC
RNAcentral lists this ribosomal RNA (465 nucleotides) under Vreelandella stevensii. Its description in RNAcentral is "partial 16S ribosomal RNA". It matches the Rfam family "Bacterial small subunit ribosomal RNA", at positions 338 to 795 of the family's 1533-position model. Lineage: Bacteria; Pseudomonadati; Pseudomonadota; Gammaproteobacteria; Oceanospirillales; Halomonadaceae. The record is from RNAcentral.